UUUAAAGUUAAGCCGUUUAAGGUAUUUAGUAAAAAUAAAAUAUCUCAAUUAUUUUAAAAGCGUUCUGAAUAACUUUUUAAAACUGCUUUCAAAAGAAGUAGAGAUGAGCUUUUAAUGAAUUUUUUUAAUUCCCAAAAUACCACCAUUAAUUUUUAAUAAUGACACAAUCUCUACCACCACCUUCAUCACCUCUGCCACCACCACCACCAUCACCAUCACCAUCACCG
Molecule: long non-coding RNA, 227 nt
Filed under: Prunus persica (peach)
Lineage: Eukaryota; Viridiplantae; Streptophyta; Magnoliopsida; Rosales; Rosaceae
Description: long non-coding RNA (PPER_LNC001839)
Source: RNAcentral